Molecule: ribosomal RNA, 473 nt
Filed under: uncultured bacterium
Lineage: Bacteria
Description: bacterial SSU rRNA
Rfam family: Bacterial small subunit ribosomal RNA
Source: RNAcentral
CUGGCGGCAUGCCUUACACAUGCAAGUCGAACGGCAGCACGGGAGCAAUCCUGGUGGCGAGUGGCAACGGGUGAGUAAUAUAUCGGAACGUGCCCAGUCUGGGGGAUAACGUAGCGAAAGCUACGCUAAUACCGCAUACGAUCUAUGGAUGAAAGCGGGGGAUCGCAAGACCUCGCGCGAUUGGAGCGGCCGAUAUCAGAUUAGGUAGUUGGUGAGGUAAAGGCUCACCAAGCCGACGAUCUGUAGCUGGUCUGAGAGGACGACCAGCCACACUGGGACUGAGACACGGCCCUGACUCCUACGGGAGGCAGCAGUGGGGAAUUUUGGACAAUGGGCGCAAGCCUGAUCCAGCAAUGCCGCGUGCAGGAUGAAGGCCUUCGGGUUGUAAACUGCUUUGUACGGAACGAAACGGUGAGCUCUAAUACAGUUUGCUAAUGACGGUACCGUAAGAAUAAGCACCGGCUAACUACGUG